CGCUGCUCAGGUUCCUGCAUCUCCUGAAUUUCUUCAGAAGUUGUGCUGCAAGUACAGGUUCUCUUGUGGUGAAGCUGGAGCGAUUUCUUCCUCCAGUGACCGCAGUCCGUCACCUAUGCUGCUCCCGACGUUCCUGCCGUCUGUGGCCCUUCGACCAACGAUGUCAGCUUCGGAUGCAGAUGAUUUCCUCCUCUGUGAUGAGGUCACGCUAGGAAAAGUUAUCCAGGAAGGUGCCCUGUACCCGAUCCCCUGGUCCUCCCCGUCAGCAAGCUCGUUCUCUGAGCAGGAGUGGUUAGAGGACAUCUGUGACACCUUGUGCAUGCGGCUGCUUCCAAGAACAACCUCGGUCGGUAGAAUGGGCUGCUCGAUGCAGGGGCUGCCCAUCAGCAGUGCAAGGGCGUGCUCUAGAGCUGUCGUCACCUUAUCCAUGGAAGGCCGAUCUUUACCUCGCAUUCUGA
RNAcentral lists this unclassified non-coding RNA (458 nucleotides) under Zea mays. RNAcentral describes it as "misc RNA Zm00001eb406790". Lineage: Eukaryota; Viridiplantae; Streptophyta; Magnoliopsida; Poales; Poaceae. The record is from RNAcentral.